Molecule: long non-coding RNA, 581 nt
Organism: Amblyraja radiata (thorny skate)
Lineage: Eukaryota; Metazoa; Chordata; Chondrichthyes; Rajiformes; Rajidae
Exons: 5
Source: RefSeq, a predicted model, not a curated record
ACGGCAUAGACACACGCGUUGUUCGGAGUGUGUUACGUCUUUCUGGCCCAGACUACACAAUCUCCCCUCCCCUCCCCCCUACUCGUCCGACUGGCCUAAUCGUGUACUUCCUGGCGAAAUUAAGCGGCAUUUCAGACCGAAGUUUCCGGACUUAACAGUUUACUAUUUACUGGAAAACAUUCACUCGGCCGUUCCAUUCGGCAACAAGGCAAGGUUCACCGUGACACUUUUUAUUAGUGACCUCUAAUUGCUUCUGGACUGCGGAGACAUAUAUAGUCACUGGCUUUGUUGGGACCGAAGACACAUGUAGGCUGCAUGAGGAUGUCGGUCAUGCUGAAUUUGGACCACUGCAGUCAGUUCUGGCCACUCCAUUACAGGAAGGAUGUGGAGGCUUUGGAAAAGGCACAGAGGUGGUUUACCAGACUGCUGCUUGGAUUAGGGGCUGUUUGACACGGGGACAGACUUGGAUUGUUUUCUCUGGAAUGCCAGAGGUUGUGGGGAGGCCUCAAAGAAGUAACUUGGGUGGCACAGUGGUACAGCGUUAGAGUUGGUGCCUUAGAGCGCUGGAGAAUCUGGUGUGA